AAAUUGAAGAGUUUGAUCAUGGCUCAGAUUGAACGCUGGCGGCAGGCCUAACACAUGCAAGUCGAACGGUAGCACAGAGAGCUUGCUCUC
This 90-nucleotide ribosomal RNA is filed under the name Enterobacter cloacae. RNAcentral describes it as "partial 16S ribosomal RNA". It matches the Rfam family "Bacterial small subunit ribosomal RNA", at positions 1 to 87 of the family's 1533-position model. Lineage: Bacteria; Pseudomonadati; Pseudomonadota; Gammaproteobacteria; Enterobacterales; Enterobacteriaceae. RNAcentral also lists the same sequence under 17 other names. The record is from RNAcentral.